UGGUAAUAAAAAUUUUAUAAUUUUAUUACUGCUGAAGAUUUUAUAAAGUCAUUACCAU
This 58-nucleotide transfer RNA is filed under the name Bemisia tabaci. RNAcentral describes it as "tRNA-Ser". The record is from RNAcentral. Lineage: Eukaryota; Metazoa; Arthropoda; Insecta; Hemiptera; Aleyrodidae.